GAAGGAGAUUACUGCUGCCCACGGGGAAAAAGGAGAACAGAAAUGGGAAAGCCGUAUUGAGAGGAUGUUUGAGAACUGUGAAAGACAGAAAGCAGACCAGAUUGCCAUGCCUAAACCACUUUCUUUGAAGUUUAUGGAAGCACCACUGCAUUUAUGCCAGAAGGUGAAAGUCCAGAACAGGUGCUUUUUGGUUUGAGAAUGAGUGUUCUACAUACUGGCCUGUAAGGCAGUGCUACUCCAAGUGUGGUCCACAGGCUGGCAGCAACAUCAUAGGGGAGUAUGUUAACAAUGCUGAUUCUCCAGCCCCAGCUCCGGACUCUGUUUUAACGGUCUAUCCAGGCAUGAAUUCUACUCAAGUGGCCUGCCCCUCAGCAGAAGUUGGACAGGUGCUUAUGUUGCAAUUAACAAAAAGGAUACAUGCUGGGUCCUGCAGUAAAUGUCUCCCUUGGAUCAUGAAGUCUUUUUACCAUGUUACUGGAACACAGAAGGGUACUAUUGAGAACCAACUAACUUGGAGCCGUGUAUGAGCCACUGGGAAUAGACUAAAUGAGAUAAUCAACGUCUUGAUCUCAUAUUCUUUCAUUCUACAGAAGGAAGCAGGCAACAGGUUGCAAUACGAAGUGGAGUUAAAGCAACUAGAAGGAAGUGUCAGUAACCAAGCUGAGAGAGGCUGGAAGGAAAACAAUUCAUGCAGCAGAAAAGAAAGCCUUUUGAGCACUGUGAUGUCAGAAGGUGACUUGGAAGAUGAUCUAAAUGUUAAACUGGCAGUGAAGAUGCGCAGAGGUUGUAGUUCUGCUCCCCUCCCCGUCAG
This 811-nucleotide long non-coding RNA is filed under the name Homo sapiens (human). RNAcentral describes it as "HSALNT0382824". The record is from RNAcentral. Lineage: Eukaryota; Metazoa; Chordata; Mammalia; Primates; Hominidae.